This 127-nucleotide small RNA is filed under the name Marmota monax (woodchuck). The record is from RNAcentral. Lineage: Eukaryota; Metazoa; Chordata; Mammalia; Rodentia; Sciuridae.
GCUGGGUAUGAUGGCACACACCUGUAAUCCCAACAACUCAGGAGGCUGAGUCAGGAGGAUCAUGACUUCAAAGCCAGCCUCAGCAACAUAGCAAGGCCCUAAGCAACUUAAUAAGACCCUGUCUCUA